UACGAAGGGGGCUAGCGUUGUUCGGAAUUACUGGGCGUAAAGGGCGCGCAGGCGGCUCAUUUUGUCAGGCGUGAAAGCCCCGGGCUUAACCUGGGAGGUGCGUUUGAUACGGAUGGGCUAGAGUUCGGGAGAGGAGAGUGGAAUUCCCAGUGUAGAGGUGAAAUUCGUAGAUAUUGGGAAGAACACCGGCGGCGAAGGCGGCUCUCUGGGCCGAUACUGACGCUGAGGAGCGAAAGCGUGGGGAGCGAACAGG
This 253-nucleotide ribosomal RNA is filed under the name uncultured bacterium. Its description in RNAcentral is "partial 16S ribosomal RNA". It matches the Rfam family "Bacterial small subunit ribosomal RNA", at positions 524 to 776 of the family's 1533-position model. The record is from RNAcentral.